This 460-nucleotide ribosomal RNA is filed under the name uncultured bacterium. RNAcentral describes it as "partial 16S ribosomal RNA". It matches the Rfam family "Bacterial small subunit ribosomal RNA", at positions 338 to 795 of the family's 1533-position model. The record is from RNAcentral.
CCUACGGGUGGCAGCAGUGAGGAAUAUUGGUCAAUGGACGCAAGUCUGAACCAGCCAUGCCGCGUGCAGGAAGACGGCUCUAUGAGUUGUAAACUGCUUUUGUACGAGGGUAAACGCAGAUACGCGUAUCUGUCUGAAAGUAUCGUACGAAUAAGGAUCGGCUAACUCCGUGCCAGCAGCCGCGGUAAUACGGAGGAUUCAAGCGUUAUCCGGAUUUAUUGGGUUUAAAGGGUGCGUAGGCGGUCUGAUAAGUUAGAGGUGAAAUCCCGAGGCUCAACUUCGGAAUUGCAUCUGAUACUGUUAGGCUAGAGAGUAGGUGCGGUAGGCGGAAUGUAUGGUGUAGCGGUGAAAUGCUUAGAGAUCAUACAGAACACCGAUUGCGAAGGCAGCUUACCAAGCUACUUCUGACGUUGAGGCACGAAAGCGUGGGGAGCAAACAGGAUUAGAUACCCUAGUAGUC